RNAcentral lists this ribosomal RNA (245 nucleotides) under uncultured bacterium. Its description in RNAcentral is "partial 16S ribosomal RNA". It matches the Rfam family "Bacterial small subunit ribosomal RNA", at positions 524 to 768 of the family's 1533-position model. The record is from RNAcentral.
UACGUAGGGGGCGAGCGUUGUCCGGAUUCAUUGGGCGUAAAGCGCGCGUAGGCGGCCCCGCAAGUCGGCCGUGAAAUCUCCGGGCUCAACUCGGAGGGGUCGGGCGAGACUGCGGAGCUAGAGGCGGGCAGAGGGCAGUGGAAUUCCGGGUGUAGUGGUGGAAUGCGUAGAGAUCCGGAGGAACACCAGUGGCGAAGGCGGCUGCCUGGGCCCGGCCUGACGCUGAGGCGCGAAAGCGUGGGGAG